GUAUAAACUACAAAACAUUCGUUUGCAUUAUACAUUCGCCAUUUUACACAGCGACUGGUCGGUUGUUGUGUGUCAUCUCUCCGGGGAAAAAAAGAGCGGGUCUUUGCGGUAUAUUUUUUCUUGUGAGCUUUUCUGGUCAUUUCCUGCCGGCAACAUGGUCAAAGUGAAGACUAUGCCAACUGAGCAAAGAAGAUCCCAACGUCUGGCCUUGCAGAAAUUGGGACCUGCAGUGGAACCUAAGAAAAAACCUGCAGCAAAAAAGGGACCCAAACCAAAGAAGGUCAAACUAUCUGAGAAUGGAAACACCAAGGCUGAGGAGCCAAAGGCUGAAGCCACUGAAGCCAAAUGAAUAACGGUUGAUGUGCUCACUCUGUGUACUUGGUGAUUGUACAGUUUUAAAAUAAGUAUUUUUUACCAAGUUUUUUAUUACAAAUGUCAUUUAUAGGUUUGUUUUGGGCUUGCACUUGAUGUAACAAAACCUUUGUUGUCACACUCAUAUCCAUUUUAAAAUGAUAACCGUCCAUAUCUUGUAGACGUGACAUUUUUAGUUUGUCUAAUCCUGUUUUUUUUAAACUGCUGAGUAAUAGAUAUUUUCCCAACUUGGAUUUUACAUAAAAUUUUGAACAUUAUAAGGCAGCUAAUGAAUAUUGUUAAAAUUCAAUGAAGUAUAGGAAUGAUGCCUUUUAUCUCUUUGUACUUUAAUGUUAAAAUAAUAAAAACUAUUGCUUACCAAAAGUUUUGAAGCACUGUAUGUCGACAUUAGAUGUAGUCAGUGAAAAUGCCACAGAAAAAUACUGUUAUUGGGUUAAAAAAAAAAAGUUUGAUAUAUCCCAAAAAGGUGUAUAAUGUGAGCCUGGUCAUCCGGUUAAAAACGUUCUGUUAAGUUAUGUGUCUGUUAGAGGAAAAGAAAGCUUUUCUGACUUCAUGGUUGAUCUAAAUGUUCUUGAAUAAAAAACUUCAAAAUGUCA
Scophthalmus maximus (turbot) is the source of this 968-nucleotide long non-coding RNA. RefSeq lists it as uncharacterized. NCBI's taxonomy places the organism in Eukaryota, Metazoa, Chordata, Actinopteri, Pleuronectiformes, Scophthalmidae. The record is from RefSeq and is a predicted model, not a curated record. The transcript is spliced from 6 exons.